RNAcentral lists this ribosomal RNA (467 nucleotides) under uncultured bacterium. RNAcentral's name for it is "partial 16S ribosomal RNA". It matches the Rfam family "Bacterial small subunit ribosomal RNA", at positions 28 to 507 of the family's 1533-position model. The record is from RNAcentral.
GACGAACGCUGGCGGCGUGCUUAACACAUGCAAGUCGAACGGAAAGGCCUCUUUCGGGGGGUACUCGAGUGGCGAACGGGUGAGUAACACGUGAGUAACCUGCCCUUGACUUUGGGAUAACUUCAGGAAACUGGGGCUAAUACCGGAUAGGAGCUCCUGCUGCAUGGUGGGGGUUGGAAAGUUUCGGCGGUUGGGGAUGGACUCGCGGCUUAUCAGCUUGUUGGUGGGGUAGUGGCUUACCAAGGCUUUGACGGGUAGCCGGCCUGAGAGGGUGAGCGGCCACAUUGGGACUGAGGUACGGCCCAGACUCCUACGGGAGGCAGCAGUGGGGAAUAUUGCACAAUGGGUGGAAGCCUGAUGCAGCAACGCCGUGUGCGGGAUGACGGCCUUCGGGUUGUAAACCGCUUUCGCUCAUGACGAAGCUUUGUGUGACGGUAGUGGGUAAAGAAGCACCGGCUAACUACGUG